GCGAGGGUGGCAGAAUGGCUAUGCAGUCGGCUGCAGACCGACGGAUGUGGGUUCGAAUCCCACCCCUCGCU
Molecule: transfer RNA, 71 nt
Filed under: Candidatus Pacearchaeota archaeon
Lineage: Archaea; Nanobdellati
Also listed under: 1 other name
Description: tRNA-Cys
Rfam family: tRNA
About the family: Transfer RNA (tRNA) molecules are approximately 80 nucleotides in length. Their secondary structure includes four short double-helical elements and three loops (D, anti-codon, and T loops).
Source: RNAcentral